RNAcentral lists this transfer RNA (72 nucleotides) under Camelus bactrianus (Bactrian camel). It matches the Rfam family "tRNA". Rfam says of the family: Transfer RNA (tRNA) molecules are approximately 80 nucleotides in length. The record is from Rfam by way of RNAcentral. Lineage: Eukaryota; Metazoa; Chordata; Mammalia; Artiodactyla; Camelidae. RNAcentral also lists the same sequence under 1 other name.
GAGGGUUUAGCUCAGUGGUAGAGCAAGUGCUUAGCAUGCAUCAAGGUUCUGGGUUCAAUCCCAAGUCCCUCC